Molecule: ribosomal RNA, 720 nt
Filed under: Escherichia coli
Lineage: Bacteria; Pseudomonadati; Pseudomonadota; Gammaproteobacteria; Enterobacterales; Enterobacteriaceae
Description: partial 23S ribosomal RNA
Rfam family: Bacterial large subunit ribosomal RNA
Source: RNAcentral
UGUUUGAUGUUCUAACGUUGGCCCGUAAUCCGGGUUGCGGACAGUGUCUGGUGGGUAGUUUGACUGGGGCGGUCUCCUCCUAAAGAGUAACGGAGGAGCACGAAGGUUGGCUAAUCCUGGUCGGACAUCAGGAGGUUAGUGCAAUGGCAUAAGCCAGCUUGACUGCGAGCGUGACGGCGCGAGCAGGUGCGAAAGCAGGUCAUAGUGAUCCGGUGGUUCUGAAUGGAAGGGCCAUCGCUCAACGGAUAAAAGGUACUCCGGGGAUAACAGGCUGAUACCGCCCAAGAGUUCAUAUCGACGGCGGUGUUUGGCACCUCGAUGUCGGCUCAUCACAUCCUGGGGCUGAAGUAGGUCCCAAGGGUAUGGCUGUUCGCCAUUUAAAGUGGUACGCGAGCUGGGUUUAGAACGUCGUGAGACAGUUCGGUCCCUAUCUGCCGUGGGCGCUGGAGAACUGAGGGGGGCUGCUCCUAGUACGAGAGGACCGGAGUGGACGCAUCACUGGUGUUCGGGUUGUCAUGCCAAUGGCACUGCCCGGUAGCUAAAUGCGGAAGAGAUAAGUGCUGAAAGCAUCUAAGCACGAAACUUGCCCCGAGAUGAGUUCUCCCUGAGACUUAGAGUCUCCUGAAGGAACGUUGAAGACGACGACGUUGAUAGGCCGGGUGUGUAAGCGCAGCGAUGCGUUGAGCUAACCGGUACUAAUGAACCGUGAGGCUUAACCUU